UCUGCUGGCAUGCAGGCACAAGACUGUA
RNAcentral lists this non-coding RNA (28 nucleotides) under Cricetulus griseus (Chinese hamster). The record is from RNAcentral. Lineage: Eukaryota; Metazoa; Chordata; Mammalia; Rodentia; Cricetidae.